This 247-nucleotide ribosomal RNA is filed under the name uncultured bacterium. Its description in RNAcentral is "partial 16S ribosomal RNA". It matches the Rfam family "Bacterial small subunit ribosomal RNA", at positions 87 to 334 of the family's 1533-position model. The record is from RNAcentral.
UUUACCGAGUGGCGGACGGGUGAGUAACGCGUGGGUAACCUGCCUCAUACAGGGGGAUAACAGUUGGAAACGGCUGCUAAUACCGCAUAAGCGCACAGUACCGCAUGGUACGGUGUGAAAAACUCCGGUGGUAUGAGAUGGACCCGCGUCUGAUUAGGUAGUUGGUGGGGUAACGGCCUACCAAGCCGACGAUCAGUAGCCGACCUGAGAGGGUGACCGGCCACAUUGGGACUGAGACACGGCCCAA